Molecule: ribosomal RNA, 506 nt
Filed under: uncultured bacterium
Lineage: Bacteria
Description: partial 16S ribosomal RNA
Rfam family: Bacterial small subunit ribosomal RNA
Source: RNAcentral
AGUGAACGCUGGCGGUAGGCCUAACACAUGCAAGUCGAACGGCAGCACAGAGGAGCUUGCUCCUUGGGUGGCGAGUGGCGGACGGGUGAGGAAUACAUCGGAAUCUACUCUGUCGUGGGGGAUAACGUAGGGAAACUUACGCUAAUACCGCAUACGACCUACGGGUGAAAGCAGGGGAUCUUCGGACCUUGCGCGAUUGAAUGAGUCGAUGUCGGAUUAGCUAGUUGGCGGGGUAAAGGCCCACCAAGGCGACGAUCCGUAGCUGGUCUGGGAGGAUGAGCAGCCACACUGGAACUGAGACAUGGUCCAGACUCCUACGGGAGGCAGCAGUGGGGAAUAUUGGACAAUGGGCGCAAGCCUGAUCCAGCCAUACCGCGUGGGUGAAGAAGGCCUUCGGGUUGUAAAGCCCUUUUGUUGGGAAAGAAAUCCAUCUGGUUAAUACCCGGGUGGGAUGACGGUACCCAAAGAAUAGGCACCGGCUAACUUCGUGCCAGCCGCCGCCGUAA